RNAcentral lists this ribosomal RNA (324 nucleotides) under uncultured eukaryote. RNAcentral describes it as "partial 18S ribosomal RNA". It matches the Rfam family "Eukaryotic small subunit ribosomal RNA", at positions 1470 to 1796 of the family's 1831-position model. The record is from RNAcentral.
CCCUUUGAUGUCCUGGGCUGCACGCGCGCUACACUGAUGUGUCCAGUAAGCACCUAACCUCUUCCGAAAGGAACGGGUAACCUUUGCAAAGCACAUCGUGAUGGGGAUAGAUUAUUGCAAUUAUUAGUCUUGAACGAGGAAUUCCUAGUAAGCACAAGUCAUCAGCUUGUGUUGAUUACGUCCCUGCCCUUUGUACACACCGCCCGUCGCUCCUACCGAUUGAAUGUUCCGGUGAGCUCUUCGGACUGCGCGGUCUGCAGUUUCUGCGUUCCGUGCGGAAAGUUGCGCAAACCUUAACAUUUAGAGGAAGGAGAAGUCGUAACA